Prunus mume (Japanese apricot) is the source of this 757-nucleotide non-coding RNA. The record is from RefSeq and is a predicted model, not a curated record. NCBI's taxonomy places the organism in Eukaryota, Viridiplantae, Streptophyta, Magnoliopsida, Rosales, Rosaceae.
GACAGCGACGAGUCUGGAGUUGUGGAUUACGAGUUCAUCGACAACGACUCCGACGAUUCCAACGAUGUCUCCUCACAUCGAUACCAGGUUUAUGUGAUUGGUGAGGAAGGUAUCUUGAAGGAGCUUGAGCUUGCUGGAUAUCGAUACAUUGGUGGACCAGUAUGUAACACUCUGUGUACGUGAAAACCCUGGAUGUCUAUCAUUGCAACAAAUCGUGAUGCUGUCACUCAUCUCAAAGAUGCUCAGGAAUGGGCAGGUGGACCGUGGUGGUUCUAUGGUUGGCGCUAUCCGUGGAUCUACUCAACGUGAGCCGCUGGUUGUGGGAAAACCCUCAACAUUUAUGAUGGACUACUUAGCAAACGAAUUUGGCAUCUUGAAGUGAAGUCACAGAUUUGCAUGGUUGGGAUACAGAUUAGAUACUGAUAUUCUGUUUGGACAAAAUGGUGGUUACAAAACUUUUCUUGUUCUCUCAGGUGUCACCACUUUGUCAGUGCUUCAGAGUCCUAACAACUCCAUACAACCAGAUUUUUACAUGAACAAGAUUUCAGACUUUUUGUCUCUCAAGGCUGCAACUGUAUGAUUAUUAUGUUACCCCUAAAAUAUAUCUUGGGCGCAUCUGUCAUUAUUUGUCUCCGCCAGUCAUACUUCCAUGUAAUUUUUUUUAAGUAUAUUUUACUGGAUGUAGGUUUCUGAAACAAAAAGAAACAGAGUACAUUAAUAAAUAUAAAAAUUAUGCACUUGAGAUGUCUGUGCAAUU